GGAAAGAGAGCCUCAAAGAUCUCUGCUGCAGCAAAGAGAUUUCAGACCAGCAGCCUGGUUAACUAAAGACAGUCCUCAGCUGGCAGUCUUCAGUUGAUUUCCUCUCUCUCAAUGCUGUUUUCUUUCUAACCAUUGUAGAGAGAUGCUUAGGAGAUGUCCUAUGCUCUGUCUAACAAGCCUUCUCAGAACAGCUUAGAUCUCCAUCAGCAACUAAAACUCAAACCACCAGGUGAUUACAUUUGUCAUUGUUAAGUAGUUAGGUUAAAUUCAAAACUUGUAAGUGCAAGUUCUUUCCUAGAUUUUAGGUUUAUCUAGAAUUGUGGGUUAUGAAGAGAGUGCUGAAGGGGAGAUACAUAGGAAAAACAAAGGGCUAUAAAAGGAUGUAACCAUCCCAUUGCUGAGGGCUACAGCAUCCAACUUCUAGGUGUUAUGCCAUCUAGUCAAGUCCACAGCAUCAAGCUUGGUAUCUAGGCAUGAUGAGAAUUAACACCUACAAUUAAGAUGCACAAAAGGCAGCGUGCUGAGCAGGGAAACUAUGUAAUUCAGCCAAAAGGGAACCUUGAGGAAAUGGAUGCAUCUUAAGCUGAUCCACUUCAGGACAUUAGAUGUUUUACUUUGGGCUGUAAAGCAUGUCUACAUCCUAGAUGCAUCUUGAAAACGGCCCCAGAAAUAGGUCAGCAGCUGCCAGAAGAUAAGCCGUCCCGCAUUGCCUUUAUCCAAUAGCUCAUGGUUAGAAUAGCCAUGCAGCAUAUACAAACUGAAUUCACUUCUGUCCUUUGCCUGAAGGCAGUUGAACUCAUAUCUGCACCUCCACAGGGAAUACAUUCAAGGCCUUCUGCUGAAUCUGUUCCACCUGAAGACUCAUGAAACUGAAAAGGCUCCAUACUCUUUCCUCUGGAAGCACAGUGUAGAAAAACAAAUGGAUUCAAGUAGCCUGAGCCAGCACAAGAGUUUCAGUUUGCUGCUAGCAUCAUUAUUCAUGCUUUCAGCUUUGGAGAAUCAAGAUGCAAGCAUUCAAGAUAUUAUGUGUGAAUGUCUACCAGAAAAAUAAAGAAGUCAAGAGGGUCAAUCUGAGUGGAUUAAAAAUGUCUGUUUCUCUUUAAAGGAUUAACAGAUAUAUAAUGUGGCACCUGUGCUAGUUUCACAUGCCAGUAGUCUAGUACAGGGGUGGGCCAUAUGGAGGAGUUGAGGCUGCCUAGACCUUCCAUCUCCCCUUUAAACCACUGAAAUGGUAUACAAAGGCCAGACUGAAUCCGAACAUUCAGUACCUCAAUGACUGAAUGUUUUAUUUAACCUUGGUUAUCCAUCAUUUCUUGAUUGAAAUCUUUUGAGUCUGGCAAAAAAUGUGUGUGAAGCAAAAGUAUUAGCACAAAAAGGAUGAAGAGGUAUUAUUGUACUCUAGAGGAAAAUGAAAAAAGAAGAAGAAACCAACUGUUUGAAAUGUUAAGCAAAUCACUUUGUUACACUAGGGUUAUGUUAACUGGAACUUUUGAAAUUGGGUCA
Molecule: long non-coding RNA, 1503 nt
Organism: Alligator mississippiensis (American alligator)
Lineage: Eukaryota; Metazoa; Chordata; Crocodylia; Alligatoridae
Exons: 3
Source: RefSeq, a predicted model, not a curated record